GGAUGUAAGGAAACCUGACUGAGACAUCUGUCAUACCACUGAUUGCUAGGGUUGAUUCAGUUGAUCUGGAUGGCUAGGUGGUUGCUGUCUUCCUUUGUCAUAGCUCAGUACGUGUCCCUCCUAAAGCUUCACGCUCAGUGGAGGAGGAUGGCUUUCUCCAGUAGAAUUAUUUGGUCUGGGAGUCCCUGGGUGGUACAAACGGUUAAGCAUUGGGUCACUAAUUUAAGAUUGGCGGUUUGAACCCACUCAGAUAGACCUCUGAUGAUCUGCUUCCAAAAGAUCAUAACCAUGAAAACCUU
Molecule: small nuclear RNA, 299 nt
Filed under: Loxodonta africana (African savanna elephant)
Lineage: Eukaryota; Metazoa; Chordata; Mammalia; Proboscidea; Elephantidae
Description: 7SK RNA (ENSLAFG00000032827.1)
Rfam family: 7SK RNA (bases 1-184)
About the family: 7SK was discovered as an abundant small nuclear RNA in the mid-70s but a possible function has only recently been suggested.
Source: RNAcentral